Molecule: RNA transcript, 2018 nt
Organism: Hibiscus syriacus
Lineage: Eukaryota; Viridiplantae; Streptophyta; Magnoliopsida; Malvales; Malvaceae
Gene name: eukaryotic translation initiation factor 4B2-like
Exons: 5
Source: RefSeq, a predicted model, not a curated record
UUCUUUUAUACCCGCCUCAUUUACCCUCUUUAAUCUUUUCCCACAUCUCAAAGAAAACAAAAUAUCAAAAGAAAAAGAAAAGAAAUAAUAUAUUUUCCAAAAAUGUCGAAACCCUGGGGCCGCAUCGGCGCGUGGGCCGCCGAGGCCGAACGAGAAGAAGCGGAGGAACGUGCGGCUGCGGAAGCUUCCGGGCCCACGGCUGAAUCUCAGAGUUUCCCUAGCCUGAAGGAAGCCGUUAGGGCGAAGCCCAAGAAUAAGAAAAUGUCUCUGUCGGAGUUUAACCAGGGGACAUACUCUUCAUCAGGCGGGGGCGGAUUGGGUGGUGCUAAGGUAACGGAACACAAUAGGCUGACACCCGAAGAGAUGAUGCUCCUCCCGACCCGGCCCAAAGAACGUUCCUCCGAGGAAUUCCAGUACGGACGUCUUGGCGGUGGAUUUUCAUCUUACGGGAGGUCGGGUCCAGGUGCGGGUCGGGGUAUCCGUGACCGUGAAGAUAGCGAUGGAUCUUGGGGUUCCGGAAGGAGGCAGCACGGAGGUUUUAAUGAAGAACGACGGGGUCCGCCUUCUAGGGUUUCUGAUUUUGAUCAGCCCUCGCGUGCCGAUGAGGUGGAUAAUUGGGCAAUGGAAAAAAAAGCAAGUCCUUCUUUGGAUUCGGGCAGGCAAAAUCGAUACGGUGGGCUUGGAACUGGUGCAUUUUCAAAGGCUGAUGAGGUUGAUAAUUGGACGACUGGAAAACGGUCAAAUCCAACUCGAUCUUCGACAUUUGGUUCAGGUUUUCGUGACUCUGGACCAGAGCCUGAUAGAUGGUCCCGAAGUGGUGUUCGUGAUUCUGGACCGGAGCCUGAUAGAUGGUCACGUGGUGGUAGUGGUAGUGGAGGUGGAACCAGAGAGGACAGGCCUAGAUUAGUUUUGGAUCCACCGCGAGGGGAGGUGAAUGAGCUUGUAGUUAAAACAAAUAGAUCGAAUCCUUUUGGGGCAGCGAAGCCCAGGGAAGAGGUGUUAGCAGAGAAAGGAUUGGAUUGGAAGAAGCUGGAUUCUGAAAUUGAAGCAAAGAAGGAAACUAGUCGGCCUACCAGCGCUCAUUCCAGCAGGCCGUCGAGUGCACAAUCUAGCAGGUCCGAAGGACCCCAGCAGCAAGGGUUUGAAAAUGCAAUCAAGACUAGGCCAAAAGUCAAUCCCUUCGGUGCUGCCAAGCCUAGAGAAGUUUUGCUGGAAGAGCGAGGUCAGGACUGGCGUAAGAUUGAUCUUGAUUUAGACCGUCGCAGGAUGGACAGGCCGGAAACAGAAGAGGAAAAGAUAUUGAAAGAGGAAAUAGAUAACUUAAAGAAGGAGCUUGAGAAAAAAUUGACGCCAAGUUCAGAAUCUGCUGGGGACCAACACUCUUUACGUGAAAAACUUAGUCACAAUGAAAGGGAAUUAGAGAUGUUGAUUCAAGAUUUGGAGAACAAAGUUAGAUUUGGGCAGAAAUGUGUUGAAAGGCCUGGUUCUGGAGCUGGCAGGACCGGCAGCUUCCCUGACAGACCUCCUUUGCAGUCUGGAUCUAUUGAUGGAUCUAGAAGUGUGGAGUUCAUGGAUAGGCCUAGGUCUCGUGGUACUAGAGAUGCAUGGACAAGGCCUGGUGAUGAGCGAAGAGGAUUUAAGGGAGGAUUUCAAGGUGGCAGGGAUAGGGGAUUUCAGGGAAACAGAGAUAUGGACAGGUCAAGAUCGAGGGACAGAUGGUGAACCAUGAUCGGAAUUGUUUUGUUGAAUUCUGUCAGAUGAAUUUUGACAACAUGGACCAAUAAUAUUCUUUCAUGUAAAAAUGGCCUUUCCACCAUUUGUCUCCCCUUCUUUCUGGCUAUUUUUGUUUUCCUUGUAGAGCAAGGAGCCUGCCUAUAUUUGAUAGGGACUAGAAACAUUGAGUGAUUCACCAGUUUUAUCUUUAAUAUUCCUUUGGAAUGUUAUAGAGAAGAGUCUAGUGUUGAGGUGGUUGGUGAAUUUCAGGCUGCUUUCUUUGUUUUGGCGUGACAUGGCUGAGU